This 313-nucleotide ribosomal RNA is filed under the name Acinetobacter baumannii 25750_8. RNAcentral's name for it is "partial 16S ribosomal RNA". Lineage: Bacteria; Pseudomonadati; Pseudomonadota; Gammaproteobacteria; Moraxellales; Moraxellaceae. The record is from RNAcentral.
AGCGAGGUUAAAAGUCAUGGGGUGGAAGGGGAAAAAGCCGACUAGUUUUAGUCUUGAUGUGUCUAAAGCAGCAGAAGCACAUGUAAAGAAUAUUGUCAUGGAUACCGUGCAAUCCUUAGUUAAUUUAAGUCCUGUUGAUACUGGAGCAUACCGUGCUUCACAUAUUGUUUCGAUUGGAUCUGCUGAUUUCGGCGUGCGUGAACCUGAAACAAACCCAAUUCAAGAUGCAGCAAUUCAAGCUGUAAAGAUUAAAUUGGGCAAUUUGGUUUAUAUCCAGAACAAUAAAGCUUAUGCACCCCGCUUAGAAAACGGC